This is a non-coding RNA of Paramuricea clavata, 893 nucleotides long. NCBI's taxonomy places the organism in Eukaryota, Metazoa, Cnidaria, Anthozoa, Malacalcyonacea, Plexauridae. The record is from the annotation of a GenBank genome assembly.
UGGUGGUGUGGUGAUGUGAUGAUGGUGGUGUGGUGAUGUGAUGAUGAUGGUGGUGUGGUGUGAUGAUGGUGGUGUGGUGAUGGUGAUGUGAUGAUGGUGGUAUGGUGAUGUGAUGAUGGUGGUGUGGUGAUGGUGAUGUGAUGAUGGUGGCGUGGUGAUGUGAUGGUUGUGGUGUGGUGAUGUGAUGAUGGUGGUGUGGUGAUGGUGAUGGCGAUGCGAUGGUUGUGGUGUGAUGAUGGUGAAUGGUGAUGAUGGUUGAUGGUGAUGUGAUGAUGAUGGUGUGGUGAUGGUAGUGGUUGUGGUGGUAGUUAUGGUGGUGGUUGUGGUGCCAGUAGUUAUGAUGGUGGUCGAGUGGUUGUGAUGGUAGUUAUGAUGGUGGUGGUGAUGAUAUAGUGGUGAUGUGAUCGUGCAAUGGUGGUGGUGCUGGUGGUGAUAGUGACUAUGAUCUGUGAUUGUUACGAUUAUGUUGAUAAUAAGAAGUAAUGUGUAGUUAAGUAGACGUACGAAUUCAGAUUCAGGUACUUUGUUUGCCCACAAGCUACCAGGAAUAGUACGAGGAAUGCCACAAUAUAUUUAGACAUGAUUCUCCUUGGUUCAAAUACUUUGAAGGUCUAUAUAAUUGCAAAGAAAGAUUAAGCUGGUAUAGUUUCUCGUUUUCCUGGCACUUAGAAAGUAGGUUAGGUCUCAUUAAUUAUAUCCUAUGUACAAGGACUGUAUAUACGUCACAAGCCUAAUGCCGUCUCUGCUUAGGCAACAUUUAUUAAUGAAAUUUAUUGUUCACAAUGGAUGAUUCCCAGCUACAGACUAAAUUUUAAUCUAGGCAAGAAGAACAAAAUCCAUCACUACAGCUAGAAAUUAGAGCAUGUUAAAAUUAGUAAAAUUGCAAAGUUUGG